UGCCCAGGUAGCUCAGUCGGUAGAGCAGUGGACUGAAAAUCCUCGUGUCGGUGGUUCAAACCGCCCCGGACCA
RNAcentral lists this transfer RNA (73 nucleotides) under Alphaproteobacteria bacterium. RNAcentral describes it as "tRNA-Phe". It matches the Rfam family "tRNA". Rfam says of the family: Transfer RNA (tRNA) molecules are approximately 80 nucleotides in length. Their secondary structure includes four short double-helical elements and three loops (D, anti-codon, and T loops). The record is from RNAcentral. Lineage: Bacteria; Pseudomonadati; Pseudomonadota; Alphaproteobacteria.